CCUACGGGAGGCAGCAGUGAGGAAUAUUGGUCAAUGGACGAGAGUCUGAACCAGCCAAGUAGCGUGAAGGAUGACUGCCCUAUGGGUUGUAAACUUCUUUUAUAUGGGAAUAAAACGUUCCACGUGUGGGAUUUUGUAUGUACCAUAGGAAUAAGGAACGGCUAACUCCGUGCCAGCAGCCGCGGUAAUACGGAGGAUCCGAGCGUUAUCCGGAUUUAUUGGGUUUAAAGGGAGCGUAUGUGGAUUGUUAAGUCAGUUGUGAAAGUUUGCGGCUCAACCGUAGAAUUGCAGUUGAAACUGGCAGUCUUGAGUACCGUAGAGGUAGGCGGAAUUCGUGGUGUAGCGGUGAAAUGCUUAGAUAUCACGAAGAACUCCGAUUGCGAAGGCAGUUCACUGGACUGCAACUGACACUGAGGCUCGAAAGUGUGGGUAUCAAACAGGAUUAGAUACCCCUGUAGUC
RNAcentral lists this ribosomal RNA (460 nucleotides) under uncultured bacterium. RNAcentral's name for it is "partial 16S ribosomal RNA". It matches the Rfam family "Bacterial small subunit ribosomal RNA", at positions 338 to 795 of the family's 1533-position model. The record is from RNAcentral.